RNAcentral lists this ribosomal RNA (254 nucleotides) under uncultured bacterium. RNAcentral's name for it is "partial 16S ribosomal RNA". It matches the Rfam family "Bacterial small subunit ribosomal RNA", at positions 524 to 776 of the family's 1533-position model. The record is from RNAcentral.
UACGUAGGGAGCGAGCGUUGUCCGGAUUCAUUGGGCGUAAAGAGCUCGUAGGCGGCUUGGCAAGUCGGGUGUGAAAACUCCAGGCUCAACCUGGAGACGCCACCCGAUACUGCCAUGGCUAGAGUCCGGUAGGGGACCACGGAAUUCCUGGUGUAGCGGUGAAAUGCGCAGAUAUCAGGAGGAACACCCAUGGCGAAGGCAGCAAACUGGUCAUCAACUGACGCUGAGGCGCGAAAGCGUGGGGAGCAAACAGG